AACGAACGCUGGCGGCAUGCCUAACACAUGCAAGCCGAACGAGACCUUCGGGUCUAGUGGCGCACGGGUGCGUAACGCGUGGGAACCUGCCCUUAGGUUCGGAAUAACUCCCCGAAAGGGGUGCUAAUACCGGAUAAUGUCUUCGGACCAAAGAUUUAUCGCCUUUGGAUGGGCCCGCGUUGGAUUAGCUAGUUGGUAGGGUAAAAGCCUACCAAGGCGACGAUCCAUAGCUGGUCUGAGAGGAUGAUCAGCCACACUGGGACUGAGACACGGCCCAGACUCCUACGGGAGGCAGCAGUGGGGAAUAUUGGACAAUGGGCGAAAGCCUGAUCCAGCAAUGCCGCGUGAGUGAUGAAGGCCUUAGGGUUGUAAAGCUCUUUUACCCGGGAUGAUAAUGACAGUACCGGGAGAAUAAGCUCCGGCUAACUCCGU
RNAcentral lists this ribosomal RNA (432 nucleotides) under uncultured bacterium. RNAcentral's name for it is "partial 16S ribosomal RNA". It matches the Rfam family "Bacterial small subunit ribosomal RNA", at positions 29 to 506 of the family's 1533-position model. The record is from RNAcentral.